This 429-nucleotide ribosomal RNA is filed under the name Chloroflexota bacterium. RNAcentral's name for it is "Chloroflexi bacterium partial 16S ribosomal RNA". It matches the Rfam family "Bacterial small subunit ribosomal RNA", at positions 355 to 776 of the family's 1533-position model. Lineage: Bacteria; Bacillati; Chloroflexota. The record is from RNAcentral.
UGGGGAAUAUUGCACAAUGGGCGCAAGCCUGAUGCAGCCAUGCCGCGUGUAUGAAGAAGGCCUUCGGGUUGUAAAGUACUUUCAGCGGGGAGGAAGGGAGUAAAGUUAAUACCUUUGCUCAUUGACGUUACCCGCAGAAGAAGCACCGGCUAACUCCGUGCCAGCAGCCGCGGUAAUACGGAGGGUGCAAGCGUUAAUCGGAAUUACUGGGCGUAAAGCGCACGCAGGCGGUUGAUUGAGUCAGAUGUGAAAUCCCCGGGCUUAACCCGGGAAUUGCAUCUGAUACUGGUCAGCUAGAGUCUUGUAGAGGGGGGUAGAAUUCCAUGUGUAGCGGUGAAAUGCGUAGAGAUGUGGAGGAAUACCGGUGGCGAAGGCGGCCCCCUGGACAAAGACUGACGCUCAGGUGCGAAAGCGGGGGGAGCAAACAGG